CACUGGAGCCAAGCAAAGACCGCCCUCGGUGCCAUAUUCGGAGAGCUUGAAGACCAUCUUCAUGUGAAGAUUCCCUCUCCUCCAGAACCACAAAGCAACCAUCCUUCCAGGAUGAUUUUAUUCAGCCAAGUGGGUUAUUUUGUUUCCCUGUUCGCUACAGUUUCCUGUGAAUAUGAUCAUGGUCCUGAACACCCC
Long non-coding RNA from Grammomys surdaster, 195 nucleotides. RefSeq lists it as uncharacterized. NCBI's taxonomy places the organism in Eukaryota, Metazoa, Chordata, Mammalia, Rodentia, Muridae. The record is from RefSeq and is a predicted model, not a curated record. The transcript is spliced from 3 exons.